CCUACGGGUGGCAACAGUGAGGAAUAUUGGUCAAUGGACGAGAGUCUGAACCAGCCAAGUAGCGUGAAGGAUGACUGCCCUAUGGGUUGUAAACUUCUUUUAUAUGGGAAUAAACUUUUCCAUGUAUGCUGUUUUGUAUGUACCAUAUGAAUAAGGAUCGGCUAACUCCGUGCCAGCAGCCGCGGUAAUACGGAGGAUCCGAGCGUUAUCCGGAUUUAUUGGGUUUAAAGGGAGCGUAGGUGGAUGGUUAAGUCAGUUGUGAAAGUUUGCGGCUCAACCGUAAAAUUGCAGUUGAUACUGGCAGUCUUGAGUGCAGCAGAGGUGGGCGGAAUUCGUGGUGUAGCGGUGAAAUGCUUAGAUAUCACGAAGAACUCCGAUUGCGAAGGCAGCUCACUGGACUGUAACUGACACUGAGGCUCGAAAGUGUGGGUAUCAAACAGGAUUAGAUACCCUGGUAGUC
Molecule: ribosomal RNA, 460 nt
Filed under: uncultured bacterium
Lineage: Bacteria
Description: partial 16S ribosomal RNA
Rfam family: Bacterial small subunit ribosomal RNA
Source: RNAcentral